RNAcentral lists this ribosomal RNA (301 nucleotides) under uncultured bacterium. RNAcentral describes it as "partial 16S ribosomal RNA". It matches the Rfam family "Bacterial small subunit ribosomal RNA", at positions 509 to 807 of the family's 1533-position model. The record is from RNAcentral.
CAGUAGCCGCGGUAAUACAGAGGGUGCGAGCGUUAAUCGGAUUUACUGGGCGUAAAGCGUGCGUAGGCGGCUUCUUAAGUCGGAUGUGAAAUCCCUGAGCUUAACUUAGGAAUUGCAUUCGAUACUGGUUAGCUAGAGUGUGGGAGAGGAUGGUAGAAUUCCAGGUGUAGCGGUGAAAUGCGUAGAGAUCUGGAGGAAUACCGAUGGCGAAGGCAGCCAUCUGGCCUAACACUGACGCUGAGGUACGAAAGCAUGGGGAGCAAACAGGAUUAGAUACCCCUGUAGUCCCUGUCUCUUAUAC